Molecule: long non-coding RNA, 1520 nt
Organism: Pan troglodytes (chimpanzee)
Lineage: Eukaryota; Metazoa; Chordata; Mammalia; Primates; Hominidae
Exons: 3
Source: RefSeq, a predicted model, not a curated record
GGGGGCGGUGGUUCUGUUGUCCUGUUGCCCUUUUAAGCUGCGGCUUGACAGGGGCCGCGCCUCCUGUCGGUGGAGUCGGUUACAAAGGGAGCAGCCCCCCAGGCCGCCACACAGCUCCCGCCAAGACCUGGUGCCCCUUGCCAUUUUCCAGCCGCGCUCCCAGGAGAGUGGAGGCUGCAGGAAGAGGCGGGUCUUUAGGCUCACAAGAGCUCGGCCAGGCGGCACCGCGGGGUGGUCGUGGCCAUGACAGCGGCUCCAGACGGCUCCCCUUCCACGCCCUUCCCGCCGGAGAUGAGGGGAAGAUGUCUGUGUCAAGAUUCAAGGCCAAACUGAAGUUGCUGGCGUCUAUCUUCCACGAGAACCAGGAGGCUCAGCUGCGGCUCACGCUCCACUGCAACAUGAGAAUGGGACAACAGAAGAAGUGACUUCAGAGGAAGAGGAAGAAGAGGAGACGGCUGAAGUUCAGGAAGACUCAACUUUUCCAGCAGAAAGGACAAUGAUGCCUCAACAGAGCCGGAUGACUCUCGAUGGCCAUGCCACUUAACAAAGCAUGGCCACCCACUUGUUCACCUGCAGCCUGAGGAAAGGAACAGCUGCAACACCUGCCAGGGACUUAGGGGAUGAAGCCCUGGAGGCUGAUCAGAUAUCCUCCUCUGGAGGUGGAGCCACAUGGCUAAUACGCCACCGGACACAGAUGUGUGCAGUUUUGUGUUUGCUGUGGGCUGUGAUGCAAAUCGCAUUUUGUAGUCCCCAUCUUUGGAGAUGCUCCAGACAGUCCCUCGGAGAAAGACAGAAAUGGAUCCCUUUGUUCUUUCUGUUCUUUCCAGGCAACCUGCCUCUGAGGGGAAGAGGGCCCAGACAUAGGAUGCUGCUAAGCAACUACUGUAAUUGUCAGCAUAAGGGGCUGGAACUCAGGUUCCAUCCUGCACACUUGCACAAGCCCACCAAUGGGAUCAAAGAUGAAGGGUGGCAGCGAUUGGAGAGGUCAGGAUAAGAAGAUUCAAGAUGCCAGAAAUCUGCAACAUGAGAUACAGCCCAGGCUCUGGGCUUGUUCCUCCAGGGCUGCGUCGCUGCGUAGCUGAUGUGGCCUGUGAGCUGGGCCUCAAAGGACAUUGCAUUUAAAGCAGAGGAGAGGAGGAAAUUUUUGGGAGAUAAGAUGGGAUUUACAGAGACACCAAAAGAGCAAAAGAAAAUAGUUCCUGAUGGUCUGAGCACAUAGAGAGUCACCGUGGAGGAGACUGGACAUUGGUACAUAUCCUACAAUGCCUGCCCCAUGGCUCUGGCCUCAUGCCAUGCCAUGCAACGUGGCACCUGGCAUCUCAGUCAACAGAUGUCCCAGAUCUCAGUCGAUGGCAUUUAUUACCAAAUUAUUCUGCCAUCUUAUAUUCGAGUCCUUCCAAAGCCUUUCUUGUUGUGGGAGGGGGAGAAUCUUAUUUUUUAAAUUUUAUUUUAGUUAUUUCAUGUAUAUAAGUUGUACAUCAUGAUGGAUUUUUUAAAUACAUUUAAUUGUGUAUGUUUAA